CUGCAGAUGAAGAGGUCUCAUUGAAGAGCAGUGGUUCUCAGUCCUGGUCCUGGGGACUCAAAGGGGUGCACAUUUGUUUUUGCCUAAGCACCACACAGCUAAUUCAAAGGAUCAAGUCAUCAUCAAGCUUCAAGUGAUACCUUGUAACUGGAGAUUCCUUCAAAACGAUUGCCUACAUUUAUUGUGUAGGGCACUGCAAGGUUGGGUGACCAGGGCCAUCUGGACUACCUCCUGGGGGAAUUCAGGUGUAUGAAGGCUAUCUGUGUCCUGCAUAACUUCAUGAGGAUGGACACGAGGACCAGAAGGGGAUCUGCAGCUCGCCGCCGUGUGCCAGAGGAGAGGUCUGCUGCUCUGCAGGAUGUUUCAAGAAUGGGGGCCAACAACGCAGCACGGGAGGCGAUCCAUGUGCGGGAGAUCUUCACCUCCUACUUCUUCGAAGAGGGUGCUGUUCCCUGACAACACCAUAGACUACACUAUGCACAACCAAAUGCUCUUUUAAGAGCAAUCAACAUUGCAAUAAGAGUAUUCUUCCAUUUACUUAGCUAUGUCAACUGCAGUUAUUAAAUUCCCAGUUUCUCUCCUUUUGAUUUCUACUUCUCAGGUGAGGGUGCUGUUCAGGUAAGGGUGAUGUCUGUACAAAAACAAAACAGGCUCUUAAGAGUCACCCAUAUUGAAAACAUUUAGAAUAGUUAGACACCCUAUAACCCACACCUACACACUCGUGUAUCAAUCUGAUUGAUGGAUUGUGUUGUGCAGUAAGCAGGCUCAGGUGUAUAACUGUGUCUCCUUCCACCUUCAAAGAAUAGGCAAGAGGACCAACCAUGUAAGACACUUCAUUAUUUCUAUUUAUAUAACUACGCUAUAUUGUUUGUCCUCAUGUGUCUGUGCAUGUUUUUCAGUAUAAAGUACUCUGCAGCCACUUAGUGUGGACACCAGGUUAUAUCAGCUCUGUCGGUGAACCUCUCCCACAUCUGAACUGGCUGACACAUAGAGGGCACAGCAUGAUCAGAGUUGAGAGGUCACUUGGUCAGGUCAACAGGAAGUAUUAUUAAAGAGAUGCUUUACAUUGAAAUACAGGUAGAGAUGUAGUAGUCCCAGAGUUAAUGAUCCAAGGUCAGAUUUGCAUUUCACCUCCUGAUGAUUAUGAUGAAUGACAGUGUUAGAAUAAAAAACCACAAGGCUUAAUCAUGCCAUCUCUCUCUCCAUCUGUCUCUCUCCAUCAGGUAUGUUUUGAUGUGAGAGAGGAUGCCAACCCCCAGUCCCGUCAUCACCAUCUCACCCGCUCUU
This is a long non-coding RNA of Coregonus clupeaformis (lake whitefish), 1287 nucleotides long. RefSeq lists it as uncharacterized. NCBI's taxonomy places the organism in Eukaryota, Metazoa, Chordata, Actinopteri, Salmoniformes, Salmonidae. The transcript is spliced from 3 exons. The record is from RefSeq and is a predicted model, not a curated record.